RNAcentral lists this ribosomal RNA (897 nucleotides) under uncultured bacterium. RNAcentral's name for it is "bacterial SSU rRNA". It matches the Rfam family "Bacterial small subunit ribosomal RNA", at positions 8 to 916 of the family's 1533-position model. The record is from RNAcentral.
AGAGUUUGAUCCUGGCUCAGGACGAACGCUGGCGGCGUGCCUUAUACAUGCAAGUCGAACGCUCUCGGGACUUCGGUCCCAUAUGAGAGAGUGGCGAACGGGUGAGUAACACGUGAGAAACCUGCCCCGAAGACCGGAAUAACUCAAGGAAACUUGGGCUAAUACCGGAUGUCCCCACCGGAUCGCAUGAUCUGGUGAGGAAAUGCUCCGGCGCUUUGGGAGGGUCUCGCGGCCUAUCAGUUAGUUGGUGGGGUAACGGCCUACCAAGACAUCGACGGGUAGCUGGUCUGAGAGGACGAUCAGCCACACUGGGACUGAGAUACGGCCCAGACUCCUACGGGAGGCAGCAGUAGGGAAUCUUGCGCAAUGGGCGAAAGCCUGACGCAGCAACGCCGCGUGGGGGAUGAAGGCUCUCGGGUCGUAAACCCCUUUCAGCAGGGACGAAAAUGACGGUACCUGCAGAAGAAGCCCCGGCCAACUACGUGCCAGCAGCCGCGGUAACACGUAGGGGGCAAGCGUUGUCCGGAUUUAUUGGGCGUAAAGAGCUCGUAGGCGGUUGGGUAAGUCAGAUGUGAAACCUCCAGGCUCAACCUGGAGACGCCAUCUGAUACUGCCCUGACUGGAGUUCGGUAGAGGAGUGUGGAAUUUCUGGUGUAGCGGUGAAAUGCGCAGAUAUCAGAAGGAACACCAACGGCGAAGGCAGCACUCUGGGCCGAUACUGACGCUGAGGAGCGAAAGCAUGGGGAGCAAACAGGAUUAGAUACCCUGGUAGUCCAUGCCGUAAACGUUGGGCACUAGGUGUGGGACCCUGUCAACGGGUUCCGUGCCGUAGCUAACGCAUUAAGUGCCCCGCCUGGGGAGUACGGCCGCAAGGCUAAAACUCAAAGGAAUUGACGG